AUUGAACGCUGGCGGCAUGCCUUACACAUGCAAGUCGAACGGCAGCACGGGUGCUUGCCCCUGGUGGCGAGUGGCGAACGGGUGAGUAAUACAUCGGAACAUGUCCUGUAGUGGGGGAUAGCCCGGCGAAAGCCGGAUUAAUACCGCAUACGAUCUACGGAUGAAAGCGGGGGACCUUCGGGCCUCGCGCUAUAGGGUUGGCCGAUGGCUGAUUAGCUAGUUGGUGGGGUAAAGGCCUACCAAGGCGACGAUCAGUAGCUGGUCUGAGAGGACGACCAGCCACACUGGGACUGAGACACGGCCCAGACUCCUACGGGAGGCAGCAGUGGGGAAUUUUGGACAAUGGGCGAAAGCCUGAUCCAGCAAUGCCGCGUGUGUGAAGAAGGCCUUCGGGUUGUAAAGCACUUUUGUCCGGAAAGAAAUCCUUGGCCCUAAUACGGUCGGGGGAUGACGGUACCGGAUGAAUAAGCACCGGCUAACUACGUG
This 486-nucleotide ribosomal RNA is filed under the name uncultured bacterium. Its description in RNAcentral is "partial 16S ribosomal RNA". It matches the Rfam family "Bacterial small subunit ribosomal RNA", at positions 30 to 507 of the family's 1533-position model. The record is from RNAcentral.